RNAcentral lists this ribosomal RNA (687 nucleotides) under Vibrio sp. LC105. RNAcentral describes it as "partial 16S ribosomal RNA". It matches the Rfam family "Bacterial small subunit ribosomal RNA", at positions 288 to 969 of the family's 1533-position model. Lineage: Bacteria; Pseudomonadati; Pseudomonadota; Gammaproteobacteria; Vibrionales; Vibrionaceae. The record is from RNAcentral.
UGGUCUGAGAGGAUGAUCAGCCACACUGGAACUGAGACACGGUCCAGACUCCUACGGGAGGCAGCAGUGGGGAAUAUUGCACAAUGGGCGCAAGCCUGAUGCAGCCAUGCCGCGUGUGUGAAGAAAGCCUUCGGGUUGUAAAGCACUUUCAGUCGUGAGGAAGGCGGUGUCAKUAGUAUAGCUGCRUCRUUUGACGUWGCAACAGAAUAAGCACCGGCUACUCCNUGCCAGCAGCGGGUNUACGASGGUGCGAGCGUUAAUCGGAAUUACUGGGCGUAAAGCGCAUGCAGGUGGUUAGUUAAKUCAGAUGUGAAAGCCCGGGGSUCWACCYCGGAASUGCAUUUGAAACUGGCUGACUAGAGUACAGUAGAGGGGGGUAGAAUUUCRGGUGAAGCGGUGAAAUGCGURGAGAUCUGAAGGAAUAUCCGGUGGCGAAGGCGGCCCCCUGGACAGAUACUGACASUCAGAUGCGAAAGCGUGGGGRGCAAACAGGAUUAGAUAUCCUGGUAGUCCACKCCCGUAAACGAUGUCUACUUGGAGGUUGUGGCCCYGAGCCGUGGCUUUCGGAGCUAACGCGUUAAGUAGACCGCCWGGGGAGUACGGUCGCAAGAUUAAAACUCAAAUGAAUUGACGGGGGCCCGCACAAGCGGUGGAGCAUGUGGUUUAAUUCGAUGCAACGCGAAGAAC